CAGUAGCCGCGGUAAUACGUAGGUGGCAAGCGUUGUCCGGAAUUAUUGGGCGUAAAGGGCUCGCAGGCGGUUUCUUAAGUCUGAUGUGAAAGCCCCCGGCUCAACCGGGGAGGGUCAUUGGAAACUGGGAAACUUGAGUGGAGAAGAGGAGAGUGGAAUUCCACGUGUAGCGGUGAAAUGCGCAGAGAUGUGGAGGAACACCAGUGGCGAAGGCGACUCUCUGGUCUGUAACUGACGCUGAGGAGCGAAAGCGUGGGGAGCGAACAGGAUUAGAUACCCGAGUAGUCCCUGUCUCUUAUAC
Molecule: ribosomal RNA, 301 nt
Filed under: uncultured bacterium
Lineage: Bacteria
Description: partial 16S ribosomal RNA
Rfam family: Bacterial small subunit ribosomal RNA
Source: RNAcentral